RNAcentral lists this ribosomal RNA (2258 nucleotides) under gut metagenome. RNAcentral describes it as "bacterial LSU rRNA". It matches the Rfam family "Bacterial large subunit ribosomal RNA", at positions 740 to 2925 of the family's 2925-position model. The record is from RNAcentral.
CCAGGUUGAAGUGGAAGUAAAAUUCCAUGGAGGACCGAACCAGACGUCUGUUGAAAAAGGCGGGGAUGAGCUGUGGAUAGGGGAGAAAUUCCAAUCGAACCCGGAGAUAGCUGGUUCUCCUCGAAAUAGCUUUAGGGCUAGCCUCAUGGAUCAUUGAUGGGGGUAGAGCACUGAAUGUGCGCGGGGGCGAGAGUCUACCAAACACUAUCAAACUUCGAAUGCCGUUGAAUGCAGACCAUGGGAGUCAGUCCGCUAGAGAUAAGUUCCGCGGGCAAAAGGGAAACACCCCAGAUCAACCGCUAAGGUCCCAAAGUACACGUUAAGUGGAGAAGGAUGUGGAAUUGCACAGACAACCAGGAUGUUGGCUCAGAAGCAGCCACACAUUUAAAGAGUGCGUAAUAGCUCACUGGUCGAGUGGUUGUGCGCCGAAAAUGUCCGGGGCUAAAACGUGACACCGAAGCGAUGGAUGCGCUGCUAUGAUCUCUGCAGUCGGAGGACAAUCCUCGACAUGCAGAGCAUGUCGAGUAAAUGCUAAAAAGGAAAAAGCAUGACACCGAAGGUAGAGAUCAUAGCAGCGCGUGGUAGAGGAGCGUUGUAUAGAGGCUGAAGCCGUAUCGAGAGGCACGGUGGACACUAUACAAGAGAGAAUGCCGGUAUGAGUAGCGAGAGCGUAGCGAGAAACUACGCCGUCGAAAGCCCAAGGUUUCCUGGGGAAGGUUCAUCCACCCAGGGUAAGUCGGGGCCUAAGCCAAGGACGGAAGUCGUAGGCGAUGGACAGCAGGUGUAUAUUCCUGCACUACCGAGGAAUGAGGCAGUGACACAGAAGGAUAACCCGAGCGGGGUGAUGGUCAACUCCGUGCAAGCAUUAAGCCUGGGGGUAUAGUGAAGUACGUACCUCUAAAAAGCGAGAUGUGAUGCGGACCGAAAUUAAGUAGGGAAGCGGGUGAGUUCACGCUGGCGAGAAAAGCUGCUAGUAUAUCCGAAGGUACCCGUACCGGAAACCGACGCAGGUGGGCGAGGAGAGAAUCCUGAGACGAACGGGAGAACCCUUGUUAAGGAACUCGGCAAAAUGACCCCGUAACUUCGGGAUAAGGGGUGCCACGAGAGUGGCCGCAGAGAAUAGGCUCAAGCGACUGUUUAGCAAAAACACAGGUAUCUGCGAAAGAGAGAUCUGACGUAUAGGUGCUGACACCUGCCCGGUGCUGGAAGGUUAAGGGAACAUGUUAGAGCAAUCGAAGCAUCGAACCGAAGCCCCAGUAAACGGCGGCCGUAACUAUAACGGUCCUAAGGUAGCGAAAUUCCUUGUCGGGUAAGUUCCGACCCGCACGAAUGGUGUAACGAUUUGAGCGCUGUCUCAACAGGGGGCCCGGUGAAAUUGAAGUAUGGGUGAAGAUGCCCAUUACCCGCGACUGGACGGAAAGACCCCGUAGAGCUUUACUGUAGCCUGAUAUUGGAUUUCGGUAACGGAUGCACAGGAUAGGUGGGAGGCUGAGAAGCAGGGACUUCGGUAACUGUGGAGCCGCCGUUGGGAUACCACUCUUCUGUUACUGGAAUUCUAACAUGGACCCGUAAACCGGGUAAUGGACAGUGUCAGGUGGACAGUUUGACUGGGGCGGUCGCCUCCGAAAGAGUAACGGAGGCGCCCAAAGGUACCCUCAGAAUGGAUGGAAAUCAUUCGAAGAGUGCAAAGGCAGAAGGGUGCCUGACUGCGAGAGUGACAAUUCGAGCAGAGACGAAAGUCGGGCUUAGUGAUCCGGCGGUAUUGAGUGGAAAAGCCGUCGCUUAACGGAUAAAAGCUACCUCGGGGAUAACAGGCUGAUCUCCCCCAAGAGUCCACAUCGACGGGGAGGUUUGGCACCUCGAUGUCGGCUCGUCGCAUCCUGGGGCUGAAGCAGGUCCCAAGGGUUUGGCUGUUCGCCAAUUAAAGCGGCACGCGAGCUGGGUUCAGAACGUCGUGAGACAGUUCGGUCCCUAUCCAUCGUGGGCGUAGGAGUCAUGAGAGGAGCUGUUCCUAGUACGAGAGGACCGGAAUGGACGCAUCACUGGUGCAACUGUUGUCGUGCCAACGGCACAGCAGGGAAGCGAAAUGCGGAUGGGAUAAACGCUGAAGGCAUCUAAGCGUGAAGCCCACCUCAAGAAUAAGACUCCCAUUGCGCAAGCAAGUAAGACCCCCGGAAGACGACCGGGUAGAUAGGUCAUCGGUGGAAGUUCGGUAACGGAUGGAGCUUGAUGAUACUAAUAGGUCGAGGGCUUGAUUU